AAGUCGUAACAAGGUUUCCGUAGGUGAACCUGCGGAAGGAUCAUUAUCCUUUAGCGUAGUGCUCUUUUUGAGCUCUACUUGCGCAUGCACUCAAUAGUGUUGCGUUACAAUGCACAGUGAGCGAGCCUCGUCUCGUUCGCUUUCAAAUCCGUGCUUGCUCGAGUACGGUCGGGUACCUAUGUGUGCGCUUGUCGCAUACACAAGCGAUAGAUCUAUGUCUAUCGUGUGGUGUAAAGAUUAUUCUUGCUUAUUUUUUUAUGAAGAAUAACGCCCGCUUAGCUAAAACAAUUUUAAUACAAAUUUUAUAUCGCAUUUACUUAUGUUGUAUGUGUAAAGCACUGUCUCUGCUUUCUCUAAAAGCUUGAGAUAUUAACACAAAUACAACCCUAUGCGGUGGAUCAUUUGGCUC
This 409-nucleotide unclassified non-coding RNA is filed under the name fungal sp. Its description in RNAcentral is "partial internal transcribed spacer region". The stretch from base 1 to 46 matches the Rfam family "Eukaryotic small subunit ribosomal RNA", at positions 1786 to 1831 of the family's 1831-position model. Lineage: Eukaryota; Fungi. The record is from RNAcentral.